RNAcentral lists this long non-coding RNA (228 nucleotides) under Salvia miltiorrhiza (redroot sage). RNAcentral's name for it is "long non-coding RNA (SMIL_LNC000236)". The record is from RNAcentral. Lineage: Eukaryota; Viridiplantae; Streptophyta; Magnoliopsida; Lamiales; Lamiaceae.
GUCAGAGCUCUAAUUAAUUAAUGGAUGUCGGAUAUUUAAAUACGGAGAUUUAAUAAGUCUAAAUACAAGCCCCCCGACUCAUCACCGGCAAUAAAGGGGUAAGUCAGUAUCGGUUCUCUAGUGGAAUGAACUGAUAUUUAUAAAUUAAUUAUGGUCUGGGCUGACCAUAGAUAAAUUAAUUUAUUUGAGGCCCAUCUUUAUUCCUUGUAUCUGGUCCCUGGACUGGCC